ACGGUGAUAGCAAGUUCAGGUCUGGUGCAGCUCUGCUCAGCCCAAAACCGAGCGGGAAGGAGAAAUGAGAAGCUGGUGAAAGGCCUCACGGACAAACGUACUCUCCAGCUUCUGCACCCCGUGUUCUCCUUCUGUCGUGCUCCAGACCCUGGAGAGGAGUCAGCCUCAGUGAACCCAGUGACAUGCCCCUGGAAAUGGAGAGCUGCUCACAGAAAUGCCAACAGCCCAGCCGAUAGGGCCUUCCCACUGAUAGGAGCGUAUUCCAGCACGGAGCCGAAGCCACAGGCAGGAGGAUGA
Molecule: long non-coding RNA, 297 nt
Filed under: Calidris pugnax (ruff)
Lineage: Eukaryota; Metazoa; Chordata; Aves; Charadriiformes; Scolopacidae
Description: lncRNA (ENSCPUG00000005914.1)
Source: RNAcentral